AUUGAACGCUGGCGGCAGGCCUAACACAUGCAAGUCGAGCGGAGCGGCGGACGGGUGAGUAAUGCCUAGGAAUCUGCCUGGUAGUGGGGGAUAACGUCCGGAAACGGGCGCUAAUACCGCAUACUAUCAGAUGAGCCUAGGUCGGUUUAGCUAGGUGGUGGGGUAACGGCCUAACAAGGCGACGAUCCGUAGCUGGUCUGAGAGGAUGAUAAGUAACACUGGAACUGAGAGACGGGACAGACUCCUACGGGAGGAAGCAGUGGGGAAGAUUGGAAAAUGGGGGAAAGCAUGAUCCAGGCAUGCCGCGUGUGUGAAGAAGGGCUGCGGAUUGUAAAGCACUUUAAGUUGGGAGGCGUUACCAACAGAAGAAGCACCGGCUAACUUCGUGCCAGCAGCCGCGGUAAUUC
This 407-nucleotide ribosomal RNA is filed under the name uncultured bacterium. RNAcentral's name for it is "partial 16S ribosomal RNA". It matches the Rfam family "Bacterial small subunit ribosomal RNA", at positions 29 to 526 of the family's 1533-position model. The record is from RNAcentral.